GACGAACGCUGGCGGCGUGCUUAACACAUGCAAGUCGAACGGAAAGGCCCUGCUUUUGUGGGGUGCUCGAGUGGCGAACGGGUGAGUAACACGUUAGUAACCUGCCCUUGACUUUGGUAUAACUUCAGGAAACUGGGGCUAAUACCGGAUAGGAGCUCCUGCUGCAUGGUGGGGGUUGGAAAGUUUCGGCGGUUGGGGAUGGACUCGCGGCUUAUCAGCUUGUUGGUGGGGUAGUGGCUUACCAAGGCUUUGACGGGUAGCCGGCCUGAGAGGGUGACCGGCCACAUUGGGAAUGAGAUACGGCCCAGACUCAUACGGGAGGCAGCAGUGGGGAAUAUUGCACAAUGGGCGGAAGCCUGAUGCAGCAACGCCGCGUGCGGGAUGACGGCCUUCGGGUUGUAAACCGCUUUCGCCUGUGACGAAGCGUGAGUGACGGUAAUGGGUAAAGAAGCACCGGCUAACUACGUG
RNAcentral lists this ribosomal RNA (468 nucleotides) under uncultured bacterium. Its description in RNAcentral is "partial 16S ribosomal RNA". It matches the Rfam family "Bacterial small subunit ribosomal RNA", at positions 28 to 507 of the family's 1533-position model. The record is from RNAcentral.